This 844-nucleotide ribosomal RNA is filed under the name uncultured fungus. RNAcentral describes it as "eukaryotic LSU rRNA". The stretch from base 310 to 464 matches the Rfam family "5.8S ribosomal RNA". Lineage: Eukaryota; Fungi. The record is from RNAcentral.
CCCCUGUGAACAUUCAAACCUGCUCUCGUAGCCCAGUGCGAUCCAGCAUCCCGGUAAAUCAUUGUCGAACAGUAUUGAUUCGGGACUUCUGACAAAUGAGAAGUUACAGUUACGAUUGAGCGGAGAUAGCUGCAUGGCAUCCCGAAGCAGUCAGUGUCUGAAAGUGUCAUUGAUUGUCUAAGGAUCUCGCCUCAACGAUUGCCAGAGGUCGCUCACCGACCGGCAGACAUGCAACCGGGUCCCCACGCCCCUUUACAACCCCAUUACCUCUGUGAGUCGCGGGAAACUAGCGGCUAAAAAACCUCGAACAACUGUUAACAAUGGAUAUCUUGGUUCUCGCAACGAUGAAGAACGCAGCGAAAUGCGAUACGUAAUGCGAAUUGCAGAAUUCAGUGAAUCAUCGAAUCUUUGAACGCAAAUUGCGCUCUCGGGUUACCCCCAAGAGCACACCUCUCUGAGUGUCGGUUUAACCAAAUGUCACCAAUUUAUUGGUGUACGACAGUCUGAGGGUAAGGAGCUUCGGUUUCUUUCCCUUUAAAUCUCAGCCUCACUACUGUGUGUGUUAGUGGCAAGUUGCUUUCACUUAAUUGUGAAUACAAUCCGCGGACCCUAUGUUGUGAAGCUUAAAAGAAACAAUGAAGAAGUUUGCUUUAUCAUCAAAUAUGAUUUUAUGAAGUUUGAUGGUGAAGUACACUUCCGCAUCUAUGAAUUAGACCUCAGAUGAAGUGGGAAGACCCCCUGAAUUUAAGCAUAUUAUUAAGGGGAGGAAAAGAAACUAACAAGGAUUCCCCUAGUAACGGCGAGUGAAGCGGGAAAAGCUCAAAUUUAAAAUCCACUGGUCUAA